GACGGAGGGUGCUAGCGUUGUUCGGAAUCACUGGGCGUAAAGGGCGCGUAGGCGGCCUUGCAAGUCGGUUGGUGAAAGCCCGGGGCUCAACCCCCGGAGGUGCGGCCGAGACUGCAGGGCUGGAGGCCGGAAGAGGAGGGUGGAAUACCCAGUGUAGAGGUGAAAUUCGUAGAUAUUGGGUGGAACACCGGUGGCGAAAGCGGCUCUCUGGUCCGGACCUGACGCUGAGGCGCGAAAGCGUGGGGAGCAAACAGG
This 255-nucleotide ribosomal RNA is filed under the name uncultured bacterium. Its description in RNAcentral is "partial 16S ribosomal RNA". It matches the Rfam family "Bacterial small subunit ribosomal RNA", at positions 524 to 776 of the family's 1533-position model. The record is from RNAcentral.